RNAcentral lists this ribosomal RNA (269 nucleotides) under uncultured prokaryote. RNAcentral's name for it is "partial 16S ribosomal RNA". It matches the Rfam family "Bacterial small subunit ribosomal RNA", at positions 524 to 792 of the family's 1533-position model. The record is from RNAcentral.
UACGUAGGGUGCGAGCGUUGUCCGGAAUUAUUGGGCGUAAAGAGCUUGUAGGCGGUUUGUCGCGUCUGCUGUGAAAGCCCGGGGCUUAACCCCGGGUCUGCAGUGGGUACGGGCAGGCUAGAGUGUGGUAGGGGAGACUGGAAUUCCUGGUGUAGCGGUGGAAUGCGCAGAUAUCAGGAGGAACACCGAUGGCGAAGGCAGGUCUCUGGGCCACUACUGACGCUGAGAAGCGAAAGCGUGGGGAGCGAACAGGAUUAGAUACCCUGGUA